Molecule: ribosomal RNA, 387 nt
Filed under: uncultured bacterium
Lineage: Bacteria
Description: bacterial SSU rRNA
Rfam family: Bacterial small subunit ribosomal RNA
Source: RNAcentral
AUUGAACGCUGGCGGCAUGCCUUACACAUGCAGGUCGAACGGCAGCACGGGAGCAAUCCUGGUGGCGAGUGGCGAACGGGUGAGUAAUGUAUCGGAACGUACCUUUCAGUGGGGGAUAACGUAGCGAAAGUUACGCUAAUACCGCAUAUUCUGUGAGCAGGAAAGCAGGGGAUCGCAAGACCUUGCGCUGAUUGAGCGGCCGAUAUCAGAUUAGCUAGUUGGUGAGGUAAAGGCUCACCAAGGCGACGAUCUGUAGCGGGUCUGAGAGGAUGAUCCGCCACACUGGAACUGAGACACGGUCCAGACUCCUACGGGAGGCAGCAGUGGGGAAUUUUGGACAAUGGGCGCAAGCCUGAUCCAGCCAUGCCGCGUGAGUGAAGAAGGCCU